UUGCGACCACAUUAUGUUGAAAUACCAGUUCUCGUACGAUCACCGUUAAGUAACGUUUAACCUGGUCAGUACUUAGAUGGGUGACCGCUUGGGAAAACCAGGUCCUGUAA
Non-coding RNA from Acanthosepion pharaonis, 110 nucleotides. NCBI's taxonomy places the organism in Eukaryota, Metazoa, Mollusca, Cephalopoda, Sepiida, Sepiidae. The record is from the annotation of a GenBank genome assembly.